CCGGGUAGUAGGGGGGGCUAAUGAGAACAUAAUGGGCUCAAUCAAUUGUUUCCUUGAUUGAACACGCCCUCUAAUUUCCUCAUCAACAGCUGGACACAAGCCAGGGACGCUACGCUGAGAAGACCGAGACUGCGCUCCCUGGACACUUCAUGAAAUACAUUAUAAACCAUUGGUCACCAACAUGGUACCUGCGGUGAGCAGACGCUGGCAAAGUGCGUCCCAUGCUGCCGGGUCACGUCUCGACUAAGGGUGGUACAGAGAGAUACGGGUCCCCGGACUCUGCGCUGGUGGGCCGCUUGUGUGCGGGUGGUCCGGUCCAGGUGGAGGAGGGAAGGAUUAACACCACGCGUGCCACAAAGGGAAAAGGAUGGAGUAAACAAGAAAUGGAGGGAAGAAGAACAUCUUGGAGACAUAUGUGCUCCGAGGCCUGCAGAUCUGCUUCAUGAAGGCGCUGCACUCACUUAACUUUUGAGCAAAACUGAAGCAAUAACCUGUUCUGCAUUUGCUCUGUGCAUUUCCUAGUCACAGUGUCAGAGUUACUGUAAUGAUACAAAAACUCAAGCGCACACAGAGCAACUUCUGUGUUCUAAUUUUGUUAUGUUUGACUUGCACAUAAAUGACUCUUUUGAGUUCAACGGAGCAUUUUUGGAAUCAUAGAUAUCAAUGAAAGUAACGUACAACGCACCAGCAGAUUCACCAAUUCACUUUUUUUUUUUUCAGUUUCUGUUUACAGAACUAACUGAAGGCAAUCUUUUGAACAAGUCUCCCGUGUUUCGAUGAAGACUUUCUCUUUUGGCCCUCGCCCGACCCUGCGUGUUUGGAUGUCGCCAGCGAGGAGGCAGUGUGGAAAAACAAACGUGGACAACUUCAGUACACGUUACCUGGAACUGUUAAAUGUUAUUUUGGUUUAUGCUGUGCUUAUUAGCCGCUAUUAGUGUUCCUCAUACCGUGUGUGUGUGUGUGUGUGUGUGUGUG
Molecule: long non-coding RNA, 975 nt
Organism: Hippocampus comes (tiger tail seahorse)
Lineage: Eukaryota; Metazoa; Chordata; Actinopteri; Syngnathiformes; Syngnathidae
Exons: 4
Source: RefSeq, a predicted model, not a curated record